RNAcentral lists this ribosomal RNA (246 nucleotides) under uncultured bacterium. RNAcentral describes it as "partial 16S ribosomal RNA". It matches the Rfam family "Bacterial small subunit ribosomal RNA", at positions 1257 to 1500 of the family's 1533-position model. The record is from RNAcentral.
GUGAGGCGGAGCUAAUCCCUUAAAGCCAUUCUCAGUUCGGAUUGUAGGCUGAAACUCGCCUACAUGAAGCUGGAGUUACUAGUAAUCGCAGAUCAGAAUGCUGCGGUGAAUGCGUUCCCGGGUCUUGUACACACCGCCCGUCACACCACGGAAGUUGGGGGCGCCCGAAGCCACUUAGCUAACCCUUUUGGGAAGCGAGUGUCGAAGGUGAAAUCAAUAACUGGGGUGAAGUCGUAACAAGGUAUC